UGCGCAGGCGGUUCGUUGUGUCGGUGGUGAAAGCCCCGGGCUUAACCUGGGAAUGGCCAUGGAAACUGGCGAACUGGAGUGUGGCAGAGGGGGUGGAAUUCCGCGUGUAGCAGUGAAAUGCGUAGAGAUGCGGAGGAACACCGAUGGCGAAGGCAGCCCCCUGGGCUGACACUGACGCUCAGGCACGAAAGCGUGGGAGCAAACA
This 205-nucleotide ribosomal RNA is filed under the name uncultured bacterium. RNAcentral describes it as "partial 16S ribosomal RNA". It matches the Rfam family "Bacterial small subunit ribosomal RNA", at positions 568 to 774 of the family's 1533-position model. The record is from RNAcentral.